RNAcentral lists this long non-coding RNA (619 nucleotides) under Panicum hallii. Its description in RNAcentral is "long non-coding RNA (PHAL_LNC000577)". The record is from RNAcentral. Lineage: Eukaryota; Viridiplantae; Streptophyta; Magnoliopsida; Poales; Poaceae.
GGCUGGAGGAGAUGCCGCCCCCGGGAGGGAAGAUCGAUCCUCCCGGGGACGGCAUAGCGGAGAUCGACGAGGGUGGAUCGAGACCUAGAGCUCUGUUACCAUGUUACAAAUGGAGAAGAGAAGACAGAUUGAACUGCACGUGUAUUGGAUAGCCCCCAAAGAGGAUUAGUACACCUAGAAUAGGAAAAGACUAAACUACCCUUGAUUUAUUGACUCAAAUACCCUUAACAGUUAGCAUAUGUUACCUCAUCUUGCUAUCAGGAACAAAAGAUGCUUCCUCACUUCUCUGAUUUUUUUCCUUCCAUGCUGUGCCGACAAAAAAUGAAUGAGGACAAUAAUUAAUAAUUAAAUAAGAUGAAAAUCAGAAGAAACAUGAAUAGAGAUGGAGAAAAAAUUGCAGACCUCAGUGUUGAGUGCAGAUCGACAUUAGCAGCGCGGCCACGGCCUCCGGGUCCAUCUGGAACUUGUCGCGCUCAUCGCAGUACAACCAGGCGCACCACCCGCCCGCCUCGGCUACGGCGGGCGUGGAUCCCCGUGCCCUCGGCCACCGCCGCUGUCAAGGACGGGAACGCGUUGCCCCUGCAACGAACGAUGGUCCUGCAAGGAUGUGGAUGCCGAG